This is a long non-coding RNA of Myripristis murdjan (pinecone soldierfish), 384 nucleotides long. RefSeq lists it as uncharacterized. The transcript is spliced from 2 exons. Lineage: Eukaryota; Metazoa; Chordata; Actinopteri; Holocentriformes; Holocentridae. The record is from RefSeq and is a predicted model, not a curated record.
GAUAUCAUAUUGUUCGCUUCUCCCUCUCAGUCAGUCUGCCAUCCCGGUUGCAGGGCUUGGUGCGUCUUGGAGGGGAGGGGGGGGCGAGGAAGAGGGCGGAAUGUCCCUUUACAAGCGUCGCAUCUGAAUAAAACAGCCGCCCGGAGAAGAUCGCAAAUCGGAAAUUGGAAAAGAGAGAGGGAGAAAGCGAGGGGCAGAUUGGUUUCUGCUACGCCAAGGUGAUGUUGGAGCCUUUCGACAGACAUUCCACAGAUCUCGCACCAAACGCCGAUCCAUGCUGAUGUGUUGGAGAAACCAGGGAAAUCAAUGCAUUCCACCGAUUCCUCUUGGAGCUAGAUGACUAAGAGCUCAACUCUGCUCUCGACUUGCAGUACAAAAAAAAAA